ACCGUAGUAGCUCAAUUGGCUAGAGCAAGGAAAGUACGUACCAAGGUGUUUCUAGUGCAUCUUGUUCCUUUAUGGUGGUUCAAAUCCAUCCUACGGUUCA
RNAcentral lists this transfer RNA (100 nucleotides) under Caudoviricetes sp. RNAcentral describes it as "tRNA-OTHER". It matches the Rfam family "tRNA". From Rfam's summary of the family: Transfer RNA (tRNA) molecules are approximately 80 nucleotides in length. The record is from RNAcentral. Lineage: Duplodnaviria; Heunggongvirae; Uroviricota; Caudoviricetes.